Tachyglossus aculeatus (Australian echidna) is the source of this 262-nucleotide long non-coding RNA. RefSeq lists it as uncharacterized. The record is from RefSeq and is a predicted model, not a curated record. The transcript is spliced from 3 exons. NCBI's taxonomy places the organism in Eukaryota, Metazoa, Chordata, Mammalia, Monotremata, Tachyglossidae.
AGGUUCCAAUUAAAAACGUGUUUGGGCCAUUGCGUUACUGCUACCAGUGCUUAAUCUUCACCGAGAGCCUCAUCAUUUAUUCUAAAACAAAAGAAGAACGAGGUCUGCCUUAUCCGUGCGCUCGCCAAUCGCUGUUGUGCUGACCACUAUUGACGGGAGUCUCAGACUGCAUUUCUUCAGAAACAAGCACUGCAUCUGCUAGACUUAACUGGGUGGACAGUGCUCACUUUGGGAGUCUGGAGUCAUAAUUCUUGCCACCGAU